Molecule: long non-coding RNA, 297 nt
Filed under: Numida meleagris (helmeted guineafowl)
Lineage: Eukaryota; Metazoa; Chordata; Aves; Galliformes; Numididae
Description: lncRNA (ENSNMEG00000013966.1)
Source: RNAcentral
AUGUUUGGGAUUGGGAAGAAGCUCGCUGAGGAAGCAACACAACAGGCCGAGAGCGCUGCGCAGGCGGCAGUUAACACAGUGGGCCAGACUGUGCAGCAAGCAGUGGAACAGGCCAAGGACGCUGGUCAGAAAGCUCUCGAUGAAGUCUACAAGGUCGCUGAAACUGGUGAAAAAGCUGUAAAAAAUGUAGCAAAUCAAGCAACUUCCUGGGGCAAAAGCUUUGGACAAUGAAGAUAAUGUAUCACCACUGAACGUAUUCUUAAAUAAAUAAAACCCCUCCAACCUACGUGUCUGGCA